UUCUCAGCUUGGUUCUUUUCUUUGUAUUAACAUUUGGUUGAUGCCUCAUCAUGUGCACUUUUGUAUACAGUUAACAUACAUGUCCCUUAGUAGUGUCAUUGAUGUCUUUUUGUUAAUCUUCAGCAAUAUUCUUAAUUUCAAAGCUUAAUUCUAUACAUUAACUUCAAUAGUUCACUGUUGUUCCCUUCUAUUGCAUUAUUCUUUUGCUGAUAUUGAUAUGAGUUACAGAUUCAUACUUAGUGUUUAACUUUCAAAUGAAUCUAUGGGAUAUUUAUAGUCAGUGAAUGCUGUUCUGUUGGAUUUUGAAGAAAUUUUAUAAGCAGUGUGAUCCUGGUCAGUGCUCACUGUUUCAGUCUCCUUUUCUAAAUUUUAUUCCCUGCUGA
This 383-nucleotide long non-coding RNA is filed under the name Rosa chinensis. RNAcentral's name for it is "sRNA RchiOBHm_Chr5g0077221". The record is from RNAcentral. Lineage: Eukaryota; Viridiplantae; Streptophyta; Magnoliopsida; Rosales; Rosaceae.